UACGUAGGGUGCGAGCGUUGUCCGGAAUUACUGGGCGUAAAGAGCUCGUAGGUGGUUUGUCGCGUUGUCCGUGAAAACUCGCAACUCAAUUGUGGGCGUGCGGGCGAUACGGGCAGACUGGAGUACUGCAGGGGAGACUGGAAUUCCUGGUGUAGCGGUGGAAUGCGCAGAUAUCAGGAGGAACACCGGUGGCGAAGGCGGGUCUCUGGGCAGUAACUGACGCUGAGGAGCGAAAGCGUGGGGAGCGAACAGG
RNAcentral lists this ribosomal RNA (253 nucleotides) under uncultured bacterium. RNAcentral's name for it is "partial 16S ribosomal RNA". It matches the Rfam family "Bacterial small subunit ribosomal RNA", at positions 524 to 776 of the family's 1533-position model. The record is from RNAcentral.